UGGGAGGAUGAAAUGCACUGGGCUCUGAAAAAAAUGAUAGAAAUGCAUUUGCCUAGAAAGCAUUGUCUGACUU
Small nucleolar RNA from Magnolia sinica, 73 nucleotides. The record is from RefSeq and is a predicted model, not a curated record. NCBI's taxonomy places the organism in Eukaryota, Viridiplantae, Streptophyta, Magnoliopsida, Magnoliales, Magnoliaceae.